Molecule: non-coding RNA, 2928 nt
Organism: Benincasa hispida (wax gourd)
Lineage: Eukaryota; Viridiplantae; Streptophyta; Magnoliopsida; Cucurbitales; Cucurbitaceae
Source: RefSeq, a predicted model, not a curated record
GCAGACAAUACCCUACCUACUACAAGACUCGGACUCAGUGCGACGAUUGGAUGUCUUUUUUAUUUCCUUCUUCGUCACUCGUCUAGGUCUAGUCGUCUAUUUCGUCGAGUCAUCGCUCGGGCAUCCCUUUUCCGAUUUUCGUUUUUGUCAUCGGCCAUCCCUUUUUUUCGUUUUCAUCACUCGGGCUCGGGCACCCCUUUUCGUUUUUUUGUUUUUGUCACUCGUCAUGCCAGACCCAGUCGGCAGUCGCCAUGAGUAACUUCAUGUUAGCCACUAUUUUCUUCCGCUUUCUGAUUUUCGUCACUCGCCAGUUGUCAUGGAAAAUAGUGAGUUGAUCGAUAUCGACAACGAAAAUGAAUCACCACCUAUAAAUAUUUCCGUUCCCGAGGCAUGUUCUAAACCAUCUAAAGUCAUUGGCAAGAGAAAACCAACUAGACCAUCAUCUUCAGUGUGGGAUCACUUUACAAAGAUGGAAAGAUCUAACACCGAAGGUAUAAGAUGCAAAUGUAAUUAUUGUGAUAAAAAUUAUGCUUGUGACACUUCUUCAUGUGGAACAAGUACCUUAUGGAAACAUUUACGAAAACAAUGCAAAAAUUAUCCAUUUAGAGAGAACCUAAAGGGAAAACCAUAUUAAAAUUUCAACCGAAUGAAAGUGAUGCAAAAGGUGCUAUCAAUAUGAAUUUUUUGUCUACUGCCUUUAGUCAACAAAGAGUUAGAAAUACAUGUGCUAAGAUGCAAGUAUUGUCUGAGGUACCAUUUAGAUUUGUAGAGAUAGAGGGGUUUAAAGAAUUUUGUAAUAUUACAUGUCCUAAGUUUGAUAUUCCUUCAAGAAUCACAAUUGCUAGGGAUAUUUAUCAGUUGUAUGUGGAUGAAAAAAAAUUGUUGAAAUCAACUUUAAUCAAAAGUGGUCAAAGAGUGAGCCUAACAACAUAUACUUGGGCUUCCUUACAAAACAUCAAUUAUAUGGUUCUUACAGCACAUUUUAUUGAUUCUAAAUGGAAUUUACAGAAAACAAUAUUGAAUUUUUGUCAAGUGCCUGAUCAUAAGGGAGAGACAAUUGGUAAAGUAAUUGAAUGUUGUUUAUUGGAUUGGGGUAUUGAUAAAGUUUUUUUUCAAUUACUGUUGAUAAUGCAACUUCAAAUGAUUUAGCAAUCUCAUAUAUGAAGAGAAAACUAAAGAUUUGGAAGUCUCUUAUUUUGGAUGGUGAAUUAUUGCAUAUGAGAUGUUGUGCUCAUGUUAUGAACUUGAUUGUCAAUGAUAGAUUGGAAGAAUUGCAUGAUUUGAUAGCUAGUGUUCGAAAUGUUGUAAGAUAUGUUAGAUUUUCUCCUAGGCGAUUAAAAAAAAUUUUAGAUUGUGUUGGACAUGAAAAGAUUGAAUCUAAAGCCCUUGUUUGCCUGGAUGUGUCUACAAGAUGGAAUUCAACAUAUUUGAUGCUUGAUCAUGCUUUAAAAUUUGAAAAGGCUUUUCAAUGCUUAGAAGAAGAGGAUGAAGAUUUUUUACAUCACUUUACUGAAGAUGAGAAUGGAAAGAAAAGAAAGGACCACCAACCUUAGCCGAUUGGAACCAUGUUCGAACAUUUGUCAAAUUUUUUGAAGAUGUUUUAUGAUCUUACAUUGAAGGUUGUAACACGACUGACGCGUAGAGAGUUGGAGAAGUCUUUUAAUGGUAAGCCAUAAAAGGGCAAGAAAAUAUGUUAAAUAUGGAACGUUGGGUUCUCAGGUGAAGUAGGAGCAAGUUAACACCUAGAGAGAGGAGAGAAUUCCAUGCUUUGGAACUGGUAGGCGCCAUGUGACCAGCUUGGUUGAAUGAUGUGGCCAGAGGCCCAAGGAGGGAGCGUUAGCUUGGUGGGUGAUUUUCGUAGGUUGUAUGAAAAGGAGAGUUGAUAUGGAUAAUUUAAGUUUUAACAUUUAAAUUCUCUUCAAUUCAGUGAUAAUUGAUGUACUUGGCUCUUUGUUUAUAGGUCUUAAUGUGUGAUUAAGAGUCUGUAAAUUUGUUAGAGUCAAUAAAGUUGCAAUUAGGUUGUAAUUGAAGAAAGAAGCGAGAAAGGUCACCUACAGAAUUUCAGUUUUGAAGCUACUCUGAUGCGGCGUCGCAACGUUGCCCUUAGAGCGUUGCAACGUUGUUCUUCGUUCAGCCCAGUUUUUUAAGAACAUCUCGAAGCAUUGCAACACUAUUUUGAAGCAUUACAACGCUGCGUUUAGAUCAAGUGUUGGUCUACAAGGGAUCGCUGAGGAGAUUCAAGUUGAAAAUUGACGAUUUGAAGAGUUCAACAAAGGUAUAUCUUCAAAACCCUAUUUUAGUUUAUGUACUUGCCUAUUUCUAUGCUAAAAUUGAUGGAAUUAGAGUGCUUAAGAUCCUAGUUACAUGCUAACAUCAACAAUUGGUAUCAGAGCAUGAUUUAAGCACUCAAUUCGUGUUAAUUUUAGCUUGGUGGGUGAUUUUCAUAGGUUGUAUGAGAAUGAGAGUUGAUAUUGAUAAUUUCAAUUUUGGCAUUUAGAUUCUCUUCAAUUCAGUGAUAAUUGUUGUAAUUGGCGCUUUGUUUAUGGCCCUUAAUGUGUGAUUAAGAGUUUGUAAAUUUGUUAGAGUUAAUAGAGUUACAAUUAGGUUGUAAUUGAAGAAAGAAGUAAGAAAGGUUAGCUGCAGAAUUUCAGUUUUGAAGCCACUAUAAUGCAAGGUUGCAACGCCAUUCUUUAUUCAGCCCAAUUUUUUAAGAACAUCUCGAAGUAUUGCAAUGCUGUUUUGAAGUGUUGCAACGUUGCACUUCAUCCAUUCCAGAAACACGCGCGUGCGACUCGAACAGUUCGAAUGUGGAUUGAUUCAACUAGUUCAGUACGUGGAGGACCAAUUCAACAUUAUUUUGAUCGGUUCAACCCAUUUUGGAGCCUUGAAGGUCUGGUUCAGGUCGGGUCGUGCAGUUCAGAGCCUAUU